Molecule: RNA transcript, 1684 nt
Organism: Ostrea edulis (European flat oyster)
Lineage: Eukaryota; Metazoa; Mollusca; Bivalvia; Ostreida; Ostreidae
Exons: 2
Source: RefSeq, a predicted model, not a curated record
AUCAUAACCGUGUGAAAAAUACUUGCGAUCAUAAAAAUGUUGAUCGAAUGCCAUCCAGGUAUGGUACUAAUAUGAAAUCACAUAUUUCCCGCAUUGCAAAAGAAAUAAUUUUCCAAACUCUUCAAAUUGUUAAAUGGCUAGAUGGAAUGUCAUACACGCGACAUAUUUUGUUUGUACAUUAUCAAGAUAUAGCAUGGCUCAAACUGUUAUCACGAAAGUAGGUUUUGUUACUGGAUGGUUAACUUAUGAUAUAAUAUGAAGUGUAAAGUAUGUCCUCACAUGUCUGUAUGGUUUUUUUAAGAACUACUUUAUGAAUUUGCUCUCUAUCUCUUUCCCUCUCUCUCUCUCUUUUUCUCUUUCUCUCUCUCUCUCUCUCUCUCUCUCUCUCUCUCUCUCUCUCUCUCUCUCUCUCUCUCUCUCUCUCUCUCUCGUAAUUUUAUUUAUUCUAUUGUGUUAGUUCGCUAGAUGUUACCAUUCAUAUGAAGUGUAAGAUGUAAGGUAUGGAAUACGACACUCAAGAAAUGCACAGGCCAGUAUAAUAUCUUGUGAAAGUCAAACCAAGGCUGAAGGCCUGGAUUUUAUACCAUCGUUAUAACUAAGACAAUGCCAUAUAUCAAUUUCGAAUUAUAGAUUUAUUUUAGGCCAUGAAUAAAAGUUAUAUUCAAAAUUAACCUUCUUUAUGUUUAGAAUGCGAUGUAGGGUUCCAAGGUGACUACUGUCAGAUGACCUGUCGUUAUUCCAGCUACGGAAAUCAAUGUCAAAUGUGGUGUAACUGCGAGCAAUGGAACUGUAGUUUUGUUACUGGAUGUGAUGAUGGGUAACCAACGAUUUCAUAAAGCACUACAGAAACGUCUUUUACCGUAUAUUCAUUGACUAAAACUCUUAAAGGUACAUUACAUGAUCUUUUCCAAGUAACUGUUGAUCGUGUAAAACAUAUGAAAUACGUAACAUGAUUCCGCUUUCCAGCAUGCCGCUCUGGAUACACCGGGUCUGACUGUAAAUUAUCUUGUCGGUAUCCAGGUUACGGGGUCAGCUUUCAGUUACAAUGUGAAUGUGAGAAGAAUCUUUGUCAUCAUGUAAAGGAUGUGAAAGUAAGCAAUGUCAAGCAGUAAUUUUCUUGUUCAAAUUGACAUUCACAAUAUUGAUGAUAACGAUCUCUUUACGGGUUUGAUCAUAUGAGUAAUAUGGCUAAGAGUUCCAUUUCAAACAGCUAUCACAUAUUUGGUAUACAACUCAUGCAAAUCAAUCUAUCAUAAUUUGCACUUCCUAUAAAAUUUGUAGACUUUUGAAACACCAAUCUAUGAGGUUUAUUUUUGUCAGUGUUACUAUUUCAAAAAACAGUAUCUUAUCAGUUUCAAUUACCAAAUGUAAUCAACUAGUAACCACAGAUAAGACAAUAAAGUGUAGGUUUUGUACUAUAACAGUGCCGCAAAUCAAAAUCAAUAUAAAUUGAACAUAGAAUAUGAAAUUACCAACUGUCAUCUUGCAUUUUGUUUUAUUUCCUGGGUGAGUGUAUAAAUCAUGAGUGUAUUUUUUAUAUUCAUACCAACCAAGUAAAUAAAAAAGUUACAGACUGAUACAAAUUCCAAAUUGAAAUAUAUAAUGUUAAGAAGUAUGUCUAUGGAUUAGAAAUCAGUUUCAUUAACACUAUUGAAUUGAUAUUUCUGUAGCCUACAACCACUGC